CGCGUAAGGCUCUGCACAGGUUGUUGUAUCGAGAGUUAGUCUCCUAACGUCAUCACUAGGCUAGUGAUGGUAACAGAUCGAACUGAUGUGUGUAGAGUACACGGAGCGGCGGACGGCUGAGUAACGCGUAGGAACAUACCCCAAAGUGAGGGAUAAGCACCAGAAAUGGUGUCUAAUACCGCAUGUGGUCUUCGGAUUAAAGCUUUAUGCGCUUUGGGAAUGGCCUGCGUUCGAUUAGCUUGUUGGUGAGGUAAUAGCUCACCAAGGCUUUGAUCGAUAGCUGGUCUGAGAGGAUGAUCAGCCAGACUGGAACUGAGACACGGUCCAGACUCCUACGGGAGGCAGCAGUAGGGAAUUUUCCACAAUGGGCGAAAGCCUGAUGGAGCAACGCCGCGUGCAGGAUGAAGGCUUUCGGGUCGUAAACUGCUUUUAUAGGUGAAGAAUAUGACGGUAACCUAUGAAUAAGGAUCGGCUAAUUACGUG
This 483-nucleotide ribosomal RNA is filed under the name uncultured bacterium. RNAcentral's name for it is "bacterial SSU rRNA". It matches the Rfam family "Bacterial small subunit ribosomal RNA", at positions 67 to 507 of the family's 1533-position model. The record is from RNAcentral.